Molecule: non-coding RNA, 128 nt
Organism: Corchorus olitorius
Lineage: Eukaryota; Viridiplantae; Streptophyta; Magnoliopsida; Malvales; Malvaceae
Source: Rfam
AAAGAAAAAUGUAGCCAAAGACAACUUGCCGACCUGAUUAAUUAGCCCUUCAAAUUAAAUAUAUAUGGGAAAUUAAUUAGGAGGAUUCAGUCGAUCGGCAAGUCAUCCUUGGCUGCACUCUCCUUUCU